RNAcentral lists this non-coding RNA (24 nucleotides) under Cricetulus griseus (Chinese hamster). The record is from RNAcentral. Lineage: Eukaryota; Metazoa; Chordata; Mammalia; Rodentia; Cricetidae.
GCGGAAAAAAGUGAGGCCCCGGCU